UUAAAAUAAAUACAAAUAGUAUUUGAAAUGUAAGAAGUUUGGUAAGCAGAUAUAUAUCGACAGCAGAACGACAACCGGCCAGUUAACCUCUCAAAAUUGAAUUCAUGUAGCUACAGCCACAUUGGCAAUCAAGAUCAAGGAUACUCAAUUUCACCCUUCUCUUGGUACAUGUAGCUUUCAAUCAUCAUUAUAAUUUGACCUUUUUCCAACAUCAUAGUCAGAUCAUCAUCCACUGACAAAUUCAUUUACAUGUACGCAAGCAAUGACACCCUUCCCGACAUAAGUUUAAAUUGCUUAAUUUGCCUAAACAUCAACCUUUGUCAUUUAAGAUAAACUAAAGGCUUUUAAAAAAAUAGAGACUCACUACGUUUGGAAGAAGAGGAUUGGAGUAAUUGGUAAAGUUGCUGCCAUGCAACCAGGAGGUGACCUCGGAUUCGAGCCGUGAAAACAGACUCUUGCAGAUAUGUAAGGUAAGACUGCAUAUAAUCGACCCUUGUGGUACGACCCUUCACCGGACCCCGCACAUAGCGGGAGCUUAGUGCACCGGGUUGCCCCUUUUAGAGACUCACUACAUUUCACAUUAUAUCAAAAUAUGCAAAAAUAUGAUUUAAACUAAAAAAUAUUAAAGCAGAAUAUUAACAAAUGAAACAAAACACUUAUUUCUCUUCAAGGAACUCGUCUUCACCUUUCUUCUGUUUCUUCUCAGCCACCUUAUCAAAAUAUUUAUCAUCUAUUUUCUCAACAUUUACCCCACUAACAUCAACUUUAGUCGAAGUAGCAAUAACAUAAGCUUGAUUAACACGUCUUAACGGAACCCCAUUAAGUUUAAAAGGACCAGUAACAAGCAAAACCCCAGAUUUAAGCUGUUUAAGAACACAGCUCUUUUACCCUUAAAUCUUCAGCUAAGAUAAUGAGCACAGUUCCAGGUGUAAUACUUGAUCUUAAUUUUGUGGGUUUGGGUUCGUUUACAAGGGGUUUUGCCACAUCAUCUGCUGGGUAAAAUUUUGGGGGAUUUGAGGUGGGUGGUGUUGGGGUGGGUUUUUUUGGGUGUUGAGGGAAUUUUCCGUUGUUUUUUUUUUCUUGAUCGCUCAUAUGCUUUCUUUUGUGGUACAUUUUGGAACGCGAGAAUUUUCCCACGCCGGGGAUUAGGUCUGAGUUGCGAAUAGUUUUCUUGGGCGCCAUUGGAGAAGCUUUGAAGGAAGAGAGAGCUAGCUGUAGUUCUAACUCGCAGAUGUAUAGAAAAGGGAAUAUGGUCGACCAAGGGUAAAAGAGUCAUUUAACCAUGUCAUAAAAUGUGUUGUACGUAUUCACUCCAAUGCUGAUUUCACUUUUAUUCUAAUACCAACACUAACUCAUUCAUUUCUUUCAUCUCUCUUGUUCAGUCCAACCAACAACAGAGAAAUAUGAUUCUUGCAUAAAUUUGGACUUUUUUUUGACUUCUCAUUAUUUUUUUAUCGGGGUGUGGCAAUUUCAGGUUAGCAUUUGUAUCAAUCUUUUGCCCUAAUCUUCUUCAGAUUCUCUUCAGAUUUUCAAUUUCAUGGCUUAAUUCAUGGUUGUUUUCUUAUUAUUCUAUCUAACUUUCUCUUCAAUGUCUUUGAGCGUUAUUUUCUUCCUUUGAAUCUCAUUAUUUUGUUCUGGUCAUCUGUUUGUCCUAUGUUGUUUUCUAUUUUUUAUCGAUAUGAUGAAAUUAUUGAUCUCUGAUUCACCGAAGAAUUUUACUGAGUAAAUGAUUUGCAGACUGACCAGUUAACAUGUAAAUAAAAAUCACCCUAAAGCUUAAUUCUCAAAUGAUAGAAUAUAAAUAUAUGCCUUUUACGGCAGCAAGGUAUACUACAAGGUAAAUCAGUCCUCUAAAGAAUGAUCUCUUAUACAUAAUUUGUUUGUUCAACGGGAUGCAUUAGCAAUUGAUGACGGGACCAAGGAUCUUUGGUUGUAAUGCAUCGUUGGUUUAUUUAUAUAAGACCACAUCUUACUAGAAUGGUCCAUUUGCCUAAGUAUAUGGAGUUCUGAAAGACUUUUUGAUUUCUAUAAUCUUAUGUUAAAUUGCAUUGUGCUUGAGGAAUGUGUUUUAUAUCUCUCAGCAUUGAAAAUAUUUUUACUACAAAUGAAGAGUGUUUUCUAUUCAAAUUUAAACUUUAGUAGAAGUUUAUUAAUUCACUGACUUUUAUAUAAAUCUGAUAUAAAGAGCAGCCUAAUGACUUGAGUUAUCCCUUGAUGGAGUAAUAUUGUUUUAGAUACAUUGCAGCAAGCUGCUUCUCUAUUUUUUUAGUACCGUCACAUGGACGUGUCUGAUACUGAAUAAUCUUAGGUGAAGCACUAGAUUUUUCUUGCUAAAAAUGCAGAGAAUCAACUACCGCUUGUUGAAGAAUGAGUAACUCUUGAUAAGGUACCACUAAUUUUAAUAUAUAUAUACUUUAUCAAAAAAAAAAUUAAUAUACAUGUAAUGCCGAUAUAAAAUUUUAUUUAGUUUGAAGUUCAGUCCCUUGGAAAAUUAGUUUUUGUAUUGCGCCUUUUUUUUUAAUCUAGUUAUACUAAAGAAUAGAUGAUAUAAUCAGAAAAGAGAUAUUAAUUUAAAGGAAAAUAUUAUGAAAUCCAUAUUUUUCUUGCAUUAUAGAUUUAUUUUUAUUUUGUUUGUUCAUUGCUUUUUUUAUUUAUUUAAUAAAGCACACACUUUUAUUGCACUUUGCGAUUAGCCCUCGAGCGCCUUUUAGAAAUUUUUGCCUUUAACAAUAGUGGUAACGACAAUCAUUUAUUAUCGUUUCUCUUUUCUCUAUAUUCUUUCCAACUUCUUGACUUUGCAGAUCUUUUAAGAAUUUACAACCUUCAUUCCCACUUAGAAUUUACCUCAUUGAAACGUCUUUAUUCGCUCAUGAAAUACACUAGAAAAGUCACUGAUGUUGCUUAUAAUUUGCUUGAUGUAAUUUUUAUUUUCUACAUAGGUCGUGUGAGUCUUCAUACACUAGCAUAUACUAUUUACACUUUUGGAUUUAAGUUCUUCAUAAUGUUAUACUAUUCUCUGAUAUUAAGUUCUAUUUGUGAGUUACAACACAAUAAAUCUAUAGCACACUAUACUAUUGUCAUGAGAUAUUUUAUAUUCUAUGAAUUUAUGUACUAAGACUGAGGACAAACUAAAAAAAGGAUGGUUUAGCAUGAUUAUUGUGGAGUGUAUUUGGUAACUGUGACAUGAUCUAACUUUAUUUUUUUUGUUCAUAAAUCAUUGCAAAGUGAUUAUAACGUGUUACAAAAUUGAUGCGCUUAUUAGGAAAAAAAUAUUGCAAAUUGAUAAUAAGAACAAGGUAAGAAAUUGAAAAAGAAAAACAUAAUACUUAGACUGGGUACAUUUCAUACAUGUGAUGCUGUUGUGGACAGAAUAAUACAGAAUAGUCAUUGAUGUUACUUGAUUUAUCAAGCAUUCAAAAUUCAUAUUGAUUAACUUCUAAUUGGAAGUUUUAAGAUUAAGCACCAUUUUAAGUUGACUAUAUCUUGAAGGACAUUUUCUGUUUAAUUACAUCUUCUCCAAUAUUUCAUGAAAUCUAACUUGUUUUCAUUUUUUGAAUUUGGUAUAGAUUGAUUAUUCACUAAAGAGCGAAGUUCAAAGGAGUCUAAUGAGUGAGGUAUGUAUAUUAGUUUUGAGCAAUAACAACUCCCUGAACAUAUUUAGAUUUAAGGAAUGUGCUAUGUAGCAAUAAUGUCUUGAAGAGUUGACUCUGCACAAAUAAUUAUUUGGUUUCUUUGAAUAUCUGGCUUAUGGAACUUCAGUUUGACACUUGUAGUGUUAUUUAGUAGAAAAAAGUAGGUUCUUUUGCCUUCUCAUUUCCCCUCCUUUUUGUGAUGAGUAAUAAAAAGAAAAUUUAUUUACAAGCACCAAUACUGAAUGAUGUUGAGAUAAAAAAGAGCAGUCUAAUAUACAAGACAUCUCGUAUUCAGGCAGGAUCUGAAGAAAGGUCGCACCCCAAGAGGUGUUGAUGUAGACGGCCUACCUUAAUGCAAGCAUUAGUGGCUGCUUCCACGGUACGAACUCGUGACCUAUAGGUCAUAUGGAGAUAAAUUUACCAUUUGCUCCAAAGUUCCACUUCUAAGAUAAUGCUGAGAUGAUAUAAAAAAUUCAGUAUAAGUCCAUAUUUUAUUUUUAUAGUGGUGAUAGAAACUGUAUGAAUGUAUCUACUUUCAUAACCGUGUAUGUUCUUGAUAAUUUGCUACUCAUAUGAUUGUGAUUAUUUCUUUCUUUUACUUAAGGGUAAGUAAAAUGUAUCGACCAACUUUUUUGGAGAUCAUUUGCAUUAAAUUUUGGCAUAUCCAUAUAAUUUUAGGAGUUAGCUUAUCAAAGAAAAAGAACCAAGGAAUAGCAUUUCUCCAAUUUUUCCGUAAUUGUUGACCGAUUUAAUCUUAAGGAUAGGAGGAUCUUAUACUCUUUAAUUUAUGAUGCAUCCUUAGAUUAUAGUAAUAGUGUCUUCUCCUUCAAUGACAUUGUUUGAUCUUCUCUAAAGGGGUGUACCUCGACACUUGGGUAUAGUCUUCUAGAGUAGUUUGUUUUCCCUUGGGGUUUCUCUCCCCUUCUUGUCUCUAACUUAUCUUUAUAUCAUGGUAUUUUUCAAAUUUGUGGUGCGGGACUUGUAUUAAUUAAUAUUUUCAAUAGAAAAAAUGUUUAAUAUUUUGUUCUCUUUUCAGAAUAGGAGCAAGAAGCUCUUUUGAUGGAGGUCAAGACGAAUACAAAGUGGUGAUGUUUUCGGCUUCCAGCAAUGCACAAAUUUUUACAAUACUCUUUAUGGUUCUUAAUGGGAUUAUGUGAUUUAUGUUGUUCGUACAUGCAUGGUGUAAGUACUCAAAAACAUAAUACAUCUGGUUGAUCAUGUGGUAUAAAAUGAUGGGUAGGAGAUGAGGAAUUAGUCAUAUGCUUUGAUUAAUAGAAAAGCACAACAAAAUGAAAUAUUCGCUCAAUUUUACACACGUCGGUCGGCCCCUAGGGAAGUAAUAUAUAGUUUUAUGUUUCUAUCACUAUUGAUCAGAAACAGCAUUGUUCUGUUGUGUUUGUGAAAUUAUUG
This 5042-nucleotide long non-coding RNA is filed under the name Nicotiana tabacum (common tobacco). RNAcentral's name for it is "long non-coding RNA (NTAB_LNC008590)". Lineage: Eukaryota; Viridiplantae; Streptophyta; Magnoliopsida; Solanales; Solanaceae. The record is from RNAcentral.